ACGUGUUCUUUCCCAUCUGGCGGCCGCGGCUCCUGUCCUGACCCUGACCCUCCCUCCCGAGGCUCAGCCGUCCCCCAACAACCCCCAGCCUUGUACUGAUGUCGGAUGCGAGAGCCUGUGCUUAAGUAAGAAUCAGGCCUUAUUGGAGACAUUCAAGCAAAGGUUGGACAACUACUUUUCCAGAACAGAAAGGAAACUCAUGCAUCAGAAAAGAGAGGGUCUGUCACCCAGGCUGGAGUGCAGUGGCACAAUCUUAGCUCACUGCAGCCUCCGCCUCCUGGGCUCAAUCCAUCCUCCUACCUCAGCCUCUCGAGUAGCUG
This 320-nucleotide long non-coding RNA is filed under the name Pan troglodytes (chimpanzee). Its description in RNAcentral is "long non-coding RNA NONPTRT005078". The record is from RNAcentral. Lineage: Eukaryota; Metazoa; Chordata; Mammalia; Primates; Hominidae.